GUAGGGAAUAUUGGGCAAUGGACGCAAGUCUGACCCAGCCACGCCGCGUGCAGGAAGACGGCCCUCUGGGUUGUAAACUGCUUUUGACUGGGAAGAAAAGACUCCUUGCGAGGAGAGUUGACGGUACCAGCAGAAUAAGCCACGGCUAACUACGUGCCAGCAGCCGCGGUAAUACGUAGGUGGCGAGCGUUAUCCGGAUUUAUUGGGUUUAAAGGGUGCGUAGGCGGCUGAUUAAGUCAGCGGUGAAAGGUAGCAGCUUAACUGUUUUACAGGCCGUUGAUACUGGUUAGCUUGAGUUAACAGAAGGCAGAUAGAAUUUCUGGUGUAGCGGUGAAAUGCUUAGAUACCAGGAGGAAUACCGAUUGCGAAGGCAGUCUGCUGCAGUUACACUGACGCUGAGGCACGAAAGUGCGGGGAUCAAACAGGAUUAGAAACCCGGGUAGUCC
This 446-nucleotide ribosomal RNA is filed under the name uncultured bacterium. RNAcentral describes it as "partial 16S ribosomal RNA". It matches the Rfam family "Bacterial small subunit ribosomal RNA", at positions 354 to 796 of the family's 1533-position model. The record is from RNAcentral.